RNAcentral lists this transfer RNA (70 nucleotides) under Mus musculus (house mouse). It matches the Rfam family "tRNA". Rfam says of the family: Transfer RNA (tRNA) molecules are approximately 80 nucleotides in length. Their secondary structure includes four short double-helical elements and three loops (D, anti-codon, and T loops). The record is from Rfam by way of RNAcentral. RNAcentral also lists the same sequence under 1 other name. Lineage: Eukaryota; Metazoa; Chordata; Mammalia; Rodentia; Muridae.
GUGGCUGUAGCUCAAUGGUAGAGUUUUGCUUUACACACAGGAAGCUCUGGGUUCAAUACCCAGUGCCACA